Empidonax traillii (willow flycatcher) is the source of this 496-nucleotide long non-coding RNA. RefSeq lists it as uncharacterized. The transcript has 2 exons. The record is from RefSeq and is a predicted model, not a curated record. Lineage: Eukaryota; Metazoa; Chordata; Aves; Passeriformes; Tyrannidae.
CUCUUGGGGUAGACAAAUUGAUUAUUCAUCAUGCCUUUAAUUUUCAACAUAUAUCAAAGAGAAAGGUCUAAGGAGUGUUGGUCCAAACACAAUUCCCAAGCUUUGUGUUGACAUAAGAUUCACGGAUUCCUUGGCUGCUAUCCUGUUGACGAAAGGAAAGAAUUGGUUAAAAAAGAAGGGUGUCAGAGGAGUCACUGCUGGCUCUUGAAGUACAGAGAGGCACUUUUUAACUGAUUCUCCUAACAGGGAUGUUUGUUUGGUUAACUCAUCAAAAAGAAAGAAAACAGGGAGGCAAGAGAAAGUUCUGCCAGUGUGGCAAACAAGGAAAGGAGAGUUUUUGUGGUGCCAGGGAGAAGAUUCCCUUCUUCCCUUGACGUGGUCUCCAGCACUGAAAGAGCUGAGGAAACCAAAAGAAAGCCCCUUAAUAUAGAGCUCAUAUGAAACACAUUCCUUCUGCUAAUUUAAAUCCAAUAAAGUGAGUAUGGUCUGAAAUGGA